This 574-nucleotide ribosomal RNA is filed under the name uncultured bacterium. Its description in RNAcentral is "partial 16S ribosomal RNA". It matches the Rfam family "Bacterial small subunit ribosomal RNA", at positions 8 to 599 of the family's 1533-position model. The record is from RNAcentral.
AGAGUUUGAUCCUGGCUCAGGACSAACGCUGGCGGCGUGCUUAACAAUGCAAGUCGAGCGGUAAGGCUCCUUCGGGAGUACMCGAGCSGCGAACGGGUGAGUAACMCGUGAGCAAUCUGCCCUUCAAUCGGGAUAACUCCGGGAAACCGAAGCUAAUACCGAAUACGACCACUUCAGGCAUCUGAUGGUGGUGGAAAGUUCCGGCGGUGAAGGAUGAGCUCGCGGCCUAUCAGCUUGUUGGUGGGGUAAUGGCCCACCAAGGCUUCGAGGGUAGCCGGCCUGAGAGGGUGACCGGCCMCMCUGGGACUGAGACMCGGCCCMGACUCCUACSGGAGGCAGCAGUGGGGAAUAUUGGACMAUGGGCSAAAGCCUGAUCCMGCAACSCCGCGUGAGGGAUGACGGCCUUCGGGUUGUAAACCUCUUUCAGUAGGGACGAAGCGCMAGUGACGGUACCUACAGAAGAAGCACCGGCMACUACGUGCCAGCAGCCGCGGUAAUACGUAGGGUGCGAGCGUUGUCCCGGAAUUAUUGGGCGUAAAGGGCUCGUAGGCGGUCUGUUGCGUCGGGAGUGAAA